This 427-nucleotide ribosomal RNA is filed under the name uncultured bacterium. RNAcentral's name for it is "bacterial SSU rRNA". It matches the Rfam family "Bacterial small subunit ribosomal RNA", at positions 355 to 774 of the family's 1533-position model. The record is from RNAcentral.
UGGGGAAUUUUGGACAAUGGGGGCAACCCUGAUCCAGCCAUGCCGCGUGAGUGAAGAAGGCCUUCGGGUUGUAAAGCUCUUUCGGCCGGGAAGAAAUCGCAUGGGUUAAUACCCUGUGUGGAUGACGGUACCGGAAUAAGAAGCACCGGCUAACUACGUGCCAGCAGCCGCGGUAAUACGUAGGGUGCGAGCGUUAAUCGGAAUUACUGGGCGUAAAGCGUGCGCAGGCGGUUUAGUAAGACAGGCGUGAAAUCCCCGGGCUCAACCUGGGAACUGCGCUUGUGACUGCUAAGCUAGAGUACGGCAGAGGGGGGUGGAAUGCCACGUGUAGCAGUGAAAUGCGUAGAGAUGUGGAGGAACACCGAUGGCGAAGGCAGCCCCCUGGGCCGAUACUGACGCUCAUGCACGAAAGCGUGGGUAGCAAACA